Molecule: ribosomal RNA, 433 nt
Filed under: uncultured bacterium
Lineage: Bacteria
Description: partial 16S ribosomal RNA
Rfam family: Bacterial small subunit ribosomal RNA
Source: RNAcentral
AACGAACGCUGGCGGCAUGCCUAACACAUGCAAGUCGAACGAGAACUUCGGGCCUAGGUGCGGACGGGUGCGUAACGCGUGGGAACUUGCACUUAGGUUCGGAAUAACUCCCUGAAAGAUGACUUAAUACCGGAUGAGCUCUUAGGGGCAAAGAUUUAUCGCCGCAGGAUGGGCCCGCGUUGGAUUGGGUAGUUGGUGGGGUAAUAGCCUACCAAGGCGACGAUCCAUAGCUGGUGUGUGAGGAUGACCAGCCACACUGGGACUGAGACACGGCCCAGACUCCUACGGGAGGCAGCAGUGGGGAAUAUUAGACAAUGGGGGAAAGCCUGAUCCAGCCAUGCCGGGUGAGAGAUGAAGGCCUUAGGGUUGUAAAGCUCUUUUAGCCGGGAAGAUAAUGACGGUACCGGGAGAAGAAGCACCGGCUAACUCCGUG